AUUCAAGUAGCUUAUAUUUAGAGCAUAGUUUUGAAGCAGCUAGGGAAAUUAUUUUAAUUUUUGAAUA
RNAcentral lists this transfer RNA (67 nucleotides) under Chironomus novosibiricus. RNAcentral describes it as "tRNA-Phe". The record is from RNAcentral. Lineage: Eukaryota; Metazoa; Arthropoda; Insecta; Diptera; Chironomidae.